Molecule: non-coding RNA, 89 nt
Organism: Pelobates cultripes (western spadefoot toad)
Lineage: Eukaryota; Metazoa; Chordata; Amphibia; Anura; Pelobatidae
Source: the annotation of a GenBank genome assembly
AAAAACACAAAUCACUGUUUAGGUGACAAACCCACCAAGAAACUGAGAUUUUUUUCUUUUUGGUGGGUUUGUCAUCUAAACAGUGAUUU